GGAGAGAUGGCUCAGUGGUUAAGAGCACUGGCUGCUCUUCCAGAGGUCCUGAGUUCAAAUCCCAGCCACCACA
Non-coding RNA from Rattus norvegicus (Norway rat), 73 nucleotides. Lineage: Eukaryota; Metazoa; Chordata; Mammalia; Rodentia; Muridae. The record is from Rfam.